This is a long non-coding RNA of Oreochromis aureus, 470 nucleotides long. RefSeq lists it as uncharacterized. The transcript has 3 exons. NCBI's taxonomy places the organism in Eukaryota, Metazoa, Chordata, Actinopteri, Cichliformes, Cichlidae. The record is from RefSeq and is a predicted model, not a curated record.
UCUUGCGGUACGACGACCUUGCGUCUCGUGCGCAGGAAGCAUUGUCUGUCUCUUCCUGUGAGAGCUUCCCUCAAAUGACCUCCAAGUGUGUGUGUGAGCACGGGCAGAAAAUAUCUCGGUGUGCGGUGCUGCAAACCAGUUAAUGAGACCAAAUUAUUUUUACAUAUCAAUGCUACUAAACUACUCUUUUAUUAGGCCCCGAACUCUGACCAAUAAGGGAAUAACGUCAGUCGAGUUAUUUUGUGUUGGAAAUUCCCGGAAGGAUUCUGGAGAACCACUGAUGGCGAGCCCAGUCCAAAAGAGAUCCUGGAUGAUGGUGAAAUGGUGUGACCAGCCAUGCGAUCGGAUUAUGGGAAUUGCCAGAAGAACUGAUUCAAGCCCUACCUUGAAUUUCAGAUAAGCCUAAGCACUCCGGGUCGCGGGGGCAGCAGCCUAAGCAGAGAACCCAGACCUCCCUCUCCCCAGCCACC